Molecule: regulatory RNA element, 238 nt
Organism: Novosphingobium pentaromativorans
Lineage: Bacteria; Pseudomonadati; Pseudomonadota; Alphaproteobacteria; Sphingomonadales; Sphingomonadaceae
Source: Rfam
GCUUCGAAUGAUCGCGCCGGUGCCCCGAAAGGGGCUUAAUCGGGAAUGCGGUGCGGGAAGGUCUCUCCUUCCCAAAACCGCGGCUGUCCCUGCAACUGUGAGCGGAUAGCGAGAUGCACACGGUUCCCUUCCUCACGCGAAGGGCCGGCCACUGGAUGAAGCCGCAAGGCGAUCCGGGAAGGCGUGCAUCAAGCAGUGACCCGCAAGCCAGGAGACCUGCCGGCGCACCGGUCGCUCU